This 729-nucleotide ribosomal RNA is filed under the name Micrococcus sp. SR52. RNAcentral's name for it is "bacterial SSU rRNA". It matches the Rfam family "Bacterial small subunit ribosomal RNA", at positions 75 to 818 of the family's 1533-position model. Lineage: Bacteria; Bacillati; Actinomycetota; Actinomycetes; Micrococcales; Micrococcaceae. The record is from RNAcentral.
CCAGCUUGCUGGGUGGAUUAGUGGCGAACGGGUGAGUAACACGUGAGUAACCUGCCCUUAACUCUGGGAUAAGCCUGGGAAACUGGGUCUAAUACCGGAUAGGAGCGUCCACCGCAUGGUGGGUGUUGGAAAGAUUUAUCGGUUUUGGAUGGACUCGCGGCCUAUCAGCUUGUUGGUGAGGUAAUGGCUCACCAAGGCGACGACGGGUAGCCGGCCUGAGAGGGUGACCGGCCACACUGGGACUGAGACACGGCCCAGACUCCUACGGGAGGCAGCAGUGGGGAAUAUUGCACAAUGGGCGCAAGCCUGAUGCAGCGACGCCGCGUGAGGGAUGACGGCCUUCGGGUUGUAAACCUCUUUCAGUAGGGAAGAAGCGAAAGUGACGGUACCUGCAGAAGAAGCACCGGCUAACUACGUGCCAGCAGCCGCGGUAAUACGUAGGGUGCGAGCGUUAUCCGGAAUUAUUGGGCGUAAAGAGCUCGUAGGCGGUUUGUCGCGUCUGUCGUGAAAGUCCGGGGCUUAACCCCGGAUCUGCGGUGGGUACGGGCAGACUAGAGUGCAGUAGGGGAGACUGGAAUUCCUGGUGUAGCGGUGGAAUGCGCAGAUAUCAGGAGGAACACCGAUGGCGAAGGCAGGUCUCUGGGCUGUAACUGACGCUGAGGAGCGAAAGCAUGGGGAGCGAACAGGAUUAGAUACCCUGGUAGUCCAUGCCGUAAACGUUGGGCACUA